UACGGAGGGUGCGAGCGUUGUUCGGAAUCACUGGGCGUAAAGCGCGUGUAGGCGGUCUACUAAGUCUGAUGUGAAAGCCCGGGGCUCACCCUCGGAAGUGCAUUGGAAACUGGCAGACUGGAGUCCCGGAGAGGAGGGUUGAAAUCCUGGUGUAGCGGUGAAAUGGGUAGAUAUCAGGAGGAACACCGGUGGCGAAGGCGGCCCUCUGGACGGUGGCUGACGCUGAGACGCGAAAGCGUGGGGAGCAAACAGG
This 253-nucleotide ribosomal RNA is filed under the name uncultured bacterium. RNAcentral describes it as "partial 16S ribosomal RNA". It matches the Rfam family "Bacterial small subunit ribosomal RNA", at positions 524 to 776 of the family's 1533-position model. The record is from RNAcentral.